This 497-nucleotide ribosomal RNA is filed under the name uncultured bacterium. Its description in RNAcentral is "partial 16S ribosomal RNA". It matches the Rfam family "Bacterial small subunit ribosomal RNA", at positions 28 to 507 of the family's 1533-position model. The record is from RNAcentral.
GACGAACGCUGGCGGCGUGCCUAAUACAUGCAAGUCGAGCGCUGAAGGUUGGUGCUUGUACCAACUGGAUGAGCAGCGAACGGGUGAGUAACGCGUGGGGAAUCUGCCUUUGAGCGGGGGAUAACAUCUGGAAACGAAUGCUAAUACCGCAUAAUAACUUUAAACACAAGUUUCAAGAUUGAAAGAUGCAAUUGCAUCACCUUAAGAUGAUCCCGCUUUGUCUUAGCUAGGUGGUGAGGUAAAGGCUCACCAAGGCGAAGAUACAUAGCCGACCUGAGAGGGGUGACGGCCACAAUGGGAAUGAGACACGGCCCAAGCUCCUUCGGGAAGCAGCAGGAGGGGAUCUUCGGCAAUUGGCGGAAGGCUGACCGGGCAACGGCGGGGGGGUGAAGGAAGUUUUCGGAUCGUAAAACUCUGUUGGUAGGGGAGAACGUUGGUGGGAGUGAAAAGCGCAUCAAGUGACGGUAACUAACCAGAAAGGGACGGCUAACUACGUG